Molecule: ribosomal RNA, 320 nt
Filed under: uncultured Acidobacteriota bacterium
Lineage: Bacteria; Pseudomonadati; Acidobacteriota
Description: bacterial SSU rRNA
Rfam family: Bacterial small subunit ribosomal RNA
Source: RNAcentral
GCUCAGAAGAACGCUGGCGGCGUGCCCCCACAUGCAAGUCGAACGAGAAAGUGGAGCAAUCCAUGAGUAAAGUGGCGACCGGGUGAGCAACACGUGACUAACCUACCCUCGAGUGGGGGAUAACUCCGGGAAACCGGAGCUAAUACCGCAUAACAUCGCAAGAUCAAAGCAGCAAUGCGCUUGAGGAGGGGGUCGCGGCUGAUUAGCUAGUUGGUAGGGUAAUGGCCUACCAAGGCUGAGAUCGGUAUCCGGCCUGAGAGGGCGCACGGACACACUGGAACUGAAACACGGUCCAGACUCCUACGGGAGGCAGCAGUGGG